AUACGGAGGGUGCAAGCGUUGUUCGGAAUUACUGGGCGUAAAGCGCGUGUAGGCGGUCGCGUAAGUCUGAUGUGAAAGCCCGGGGCUCACCCCCGGAAGAGCAUUGGAAACUGCGCGACUAGAGUGCCGGAGAGGAGGGUGGAAUUCCUGGUGUAGCGGUGAAAUGCGUAGAUAUCAGGAGGAACACCGGUGGCGAAGGCGGCCCUCUGGACGGAUACUGACGCUGAGACGCGAAGGCGUGGGGAGCAAACAGGAUUAGAUACCCUGGUAGUCCACGCUGUAAACGAUGGGCACUAGGUGUUCGGGGUAUUGACCCCCCGAGUGCCGCAGCUAACGCAUUAAGUGCCCCGCCUGGGGACUACGGCCGCAAGGUUAAA
RNAcentral lists this ribosomal RNA (377 nucleotides) under uncultured bacterium. RNAcentral's name for it is "bacterial SSU rRNA". It matches the Rfam family "Bacterial small subunit ribosomal RNA", at positions 523 to 898 of the family's 1533-position model. The record is from RNAcentral.